RNAcentral lists this unclassified non-coding RNA (1218 nucleotides) under Caenorhabditis elegans. Its description in RNAcentral is "Non-coding transcript of protein-coding gene H35B03.2b". The record is from RNAcentral. Lineage: Eukaryota; Metazoa; Nematoda; Chromadorea; Rhabditida; Rhabditidae.
AUGUCAGAGAAUAAAACAUCUAUUCGAAAAAAGCACAUGGAAUUCACACCGAUGGUUCCAGAAACAACAUUUCAAUACGCAGAUCUUAGCAUCAAACAUAUUGAUGCCGAAAAUACACUUGCGAUGGUGAGACGAGCUAUCCGAAUGGGCUACGACGCCGUAGCAAUUAAUAUUGAUUUGGGAGAUAUUUCCGAUUAUUAUACAGAACUCGACAUGCUUUGGACACCAGGAAGUCAGAAUAAUGUCGAUGGGGAACCUCCGAAGAAAAAGAAAAAGAAACAACAACGAAAAGAUGAGUUGGCAGAUGGAAUUGCUGGAAUUUUAAAGAAAAAGCUGAUCCCGCCACCGCAUUACGUGGAUGUCAGUCAAUUGAAUACUUCGGAACUCGAAAAACGUGGAAAAGUGUUCCGUCAAUUCAGUAGAAUUACAUUUACUGCAAAUGAGCAAGUAGUUAUCAAUAAAGUUUUCAUUCACCCAACUAUUUUGUCCUACGACAUCGUUGCCGUUCGCCCGGGCGAGCCAUCAGUACUUGACACACUUUCACGAAAAACUGAGCUUUUCGAUAUUAUCACAAUUGAUCAUUUGGAGGAAGAAAGGGUAUUUUAGUGGAAUUUCAAUGGAAAAAUUAAACUAAAACCUGUUUCUCUGCAGAGAAAAUGGUUGUCAGUGUCGAAAGUGAUGGAUCGAAUUCGAAACGAUGGAGUUUUCUACGAAAUUGCAUAUGCAGAGAGUUUGAUGCCUGCCACACGGAAAAAUACAUUGUUCAACGGCCGAGUCCUGAUCAGAUCCCUAAAAUCGAAGAACAUAAUCUUCUCAUCCGGUGCUGAAACAAUGCUUGAUCUCCGUUCCCCAGUCGACGUGAUGAAUAUGUCUCUUUUGUGGGGUGUUGCAAAUAACGAAGCACGCAAAAUGAUUUCCGGUUUCCCGAAGAACCUUCUCCUUCAAGCGGAAUGCCGUGGAACUGGAAAUGGAGAUGUUUGUUCGAUGAAGUUGAGUGAUGCAGAAAAAUUGGCAGGAAAUGGAGAAGAAGAAGAGCAGGAUGGAGCUUCUGAAGAGAAGGUUGUUGUUGGAAAAGAAGAAGAAGCCGAGAAAGUGAAAGCUCCACCGAUUGAAGUUAGAAUGAAUCAUUCUCAAUAUCAGGCACUGCUACAGGCAACUAAAAAUGCUAAUGAUAUGAUGAAGAAAAUAAAAGCAUCGAAAGCAGCUUCAUCGUCUUAA